UGGUGACCGCCCCAGACCCAG
This 21-nucleotide unclassified non-coding RNA is filed under the name Mus musculus (house mouse). Its description in RNAcentral is "oocyte_clustered_small_RNA12043". Lineage: Eukaryota; Metazoa; Chordata; Mammalia; Rodentia; Muridae. The record is from RNAcentral.